CGUAGGGCGCAAGCGUUGUCCGGAAUUAUUGGGCGUAAAGAGCUCGUAGGCGGUCUGUUGCGUCCGCUGUGAAAACUCGGGGCUUAACCCCGAGCCUGCAGUGGAUACGGGCAGACUAGAGGCAGGUAGGGGAGAAUGGAAUUCCCGGUGUAGCGGUGAAAUGCGCAGAUAUCGAUAGGAACUCCGGUGGCGAAGGCGGCAUACUGGACCACAUCUGACGCUGAGGCGCGAAAGCCAGGGGAGCAAACGGG
RNAcentral lists this ribosomal RNA (251 nucleotides) under uncultured bacterium. RNAcentral describes it as "partial 16S ribosomal RNA". It matches the Rfam family "Bacterial small subunit ribosomal RNA", at positions 526 to 776 of the family's 1533-position model. The record is from RNAcentral.